Molecule: long non-coding RNA, 602 nt
Filed under: Mustela putorius furo (domestic ferret)
Lineage: Eukaryota; Metazoa; Chordata; Mammalia; Carnivora; Mustelidae
Description: lncRNA (ENSMPUG00000026188.1)
Source: RNAcentral
GCGCCUUAGAACACAGUGUGCCAGGCCUUGUAGGAGGUGGAUGGGGCGGCCUCUCCACAAGGAGAGCUCUGGUUCUCACACACAAGGUGACUGUUUCUGUUGGCAGCUGCUCCCAGGAGCCUCCAUGAACUGGAUCUCAGGACCGGGGGCAGAAACUCAUCCUUCUACUCAGGAAUGUGAAGACUUCCUUCAGGAGUUCGGACGGCUUCUAAGGUGAGGCUACAAUGAGAAGACAGCCGUCUACAAAUCAGGAAGCGGGUCCUCACCAGAUGCCAGAUCUGCCGGCACCCUGACUUUGGACUUCCCAGCCUCCAGAACUGUGAGAAAUAAAUGCUGUUGAAGCCACCAAGGCUGUGGUAAUUUCUUAUAGUAUCCUGAACUGACUAAGAUACUAAGACAGUAAGAGUCUAAAAAAAUAAGAAGACAACAAUACUGGCCCAGUUGCUUAGAGGUGAUAAAUUUAUGCAGUAUUUAAGUAUGUAAGAAACAGCACUAGAUAAUAUCACCUACUUAGAAUAUGCAAAGCUAGAAUGUCUCUGCCAAAAGGCAGGCAAUGACGAGGUUUUAAUGAAAAGAACAAAUGGGAUAAGAUGACAACAAGG